This 301-nucleotide ribosomal RNA is filed under the name uncultured bacterium. RNAcentral describes it as "partial 16S ribosomal RNA". It matches the Rfam family "Bacterial small subunit ribosomal RNA", at positions 509 to 807 of the family's 1533-position model. The record is from RNAcentral.
CAGCCGCCGCGGGAAUACAGAGGGUGCAAGCGUUAAUCGGAAUUACUGGGCGUAAAGCGCGCGUAGGUGGUUCGCCAAGUUGGAUGUGAAAUCCCCGGGCUCAACCCCGGAACUGCCUUUGAAACUAGGUGACUAGAAUCUUGGAGAGGUCAGUGGAAUUCCGAGUGUAGAGGUGAAAUUCGUAGAUAUUCGGAAGAACACCAGUGGCGAAGGCGACUGACUGGACAAGUAUUGACGCUGAGGUGCGAAAGCGUGGGGAGCAAACAGGAUUAGAUACCCCCGUAGUCCCUGUCUCUUAUAC